This 467-nucleotide ribosomal RNA is filed under the name uncultured bacterium. RNAcentral describes it as "partial 16S ribosomal RNA". It matches the Rfam family "Bacterial small subunit ribosomal RNA", at positions 28 to 507 of the family's 1533-position model. The record is from RNAcentral.
GACGAACGCUGGCGGCGUGCUUAACACAUGCAAGUCGAACGGAAAGGCCUCUUUCGGGGGGUACUCGAGUGGCGAACGGGUGAGUAACACGUGAGUAACCUGCCCUUGACUUUGGGAUAACUUCAGGAAACUGGGGCUAAUACCGGAUAGGAGCUCCUGCUGCUUGGUGGGGGUUGGAAAGUUUCGGCGGUUGGGGAUGGACUCGCGGCUUAUCAGCUUGUUGGUGGGGUAGUGGCUUACCAAGGCUUUGACGGGUAGCCGGCCUGAGAGGGUGACCGGCCACAUUGGGACUGAGAUACGGCCCAGACUCCUACGGGAGGCAGCAGUGGGGAAUAUUGCACAAUGGGUGGAAGCCUGAUGCAGCAACGCCGUGUGCGGGAUGACGGCCUUCGGGUUGUAAACCGCUUUCGCUCAUGACGAAGCUUUGUGUGACGGUAGUGGGUAAAGAAGCACCGGCUAACUACGUG